GACGAACGCUGGCGGCGUGCUUAACACAUGCAAGUCGAACGGAAAGGCCCUGCUUUUGUGGGGUGCUCGAGUGGCAAACGGGUGAGUAACACGUGAGUAACCUGCCCUUGACUUUGGGAUAACUUCAGGAAACUGGGGCUAAUACCGGCUGAGCUCCUGCUGCAGGGUGGGGGUUGGAAAGUUUCGGCGGUUGGGGAUGGACUCGCGGCCUAUCAGCUUGUUGGUGGGGUAGUGGCUUACCAAGGCUUUGACGGGUAGCCGGCCUGAGAGGGUGACCGGCCACAUUGGGACUGAGAUACGGCCCAGACUCCUACGGGAGGCAGCAGUGGGGAAUAUUGCACAAUGGGCGGAAGCCUGAUGCAGCAACGCCGCGUGCGGGAUGACGGCCUUCGGGUUGUAAACCGCUUUCGCCUGUGACGAAGCGUGAGUGACGGUAAUGGGUAAAGAAGCACCGGCUAACUACGUG
RNAcentral lists this ribosomal RNA (466 nucleotides) under uncultured bacterium. Its description in RNAcentral is "partial 16S ribosomal RNA". It matches the Rfam family "Bacterial small subunit ribosomal RNA", at positions 28 to 507 of the family's 1533-position model. The record is from RNAcentral.